UACGUAGGUCCCGAGCGUUAUCCGGAUUUAUUGGGCGUAAAGCGAGCGCAGGCGGUUAGAAAAGUCUGAAGUUAAAGGCUGUGGCUUAACCAUAGUAUGCUUUGGAAACUGUUUAACUUGAGUGCAGAAGGGGAGAGUGGAAUUCCAUGUGUAGCGGUGAAAUGCGUAGAUAUAUGGAGGAACACCGGUGGCGAAAGCGGCUCUCUGGUCUGUAACUGACGCUGAGGCUCGAAAGCGUGGGUAGCGAACAGG
This 252-nucleotide ribosomal RNA is filed under the name uncultured bacterium. RNAcentral's name for it is "partial 16S ribosomal RNA". It matches the Rfam family "Bacterial small subunit ribosomal RNA", at positions 524 to 776 of the family's 1533-position model. The record is from RNAcentral.